This 399-nucleotide ribosomal RNA is filed under the name uncultured Bacillus sp. RNAcentral describes it as "bacterial SSU rRNA". It matches the Rfam family "Bacterial small subunit ribosomal RNA", at positions 10 to 397 of the family's 1533-position model. The record is from RNAcentral. Lineage: Bacteria; Bacillati; Bacillota; Bacilli; Caryophanales; Bacillaceae.
AGUUUGAUCCUGGCUCAGGAUGAACGCUGGCGGCGUGCCUAAUACAUGCAAGUCGAGCGAACUGAUUAGAAGCUUGCUUCUAUGACGUUAGCGGCGGACGGGUGAGUAACACGUGGGCAACCUGCCUGUAAGACUGGGAUAACUUCGGGAAACCGAAGCUAAUACCGGAUAGGAUCUUCUCCUUCAUGGGAGAUGAUUGAAAGAUGGUUUCGGCUAUCACUUACAGAUGGGCCCGCGGUGCAUUAGCUAGUUGGUGAGGUAACGGCUCACCAAGGCAACGAUGCAUAGCCGACCUGAGAGGGUGAUCGGCCACACUGGGACUGAGACACGGCCCAGACUCCUACGGGAGGCAGCAGUAGGGAAUCUUCCGCAAUGGACGAAAGUCUGACGGAGCAACGC